GUGCUUGCUUCAGUAGCACAUAUACCAGCAUUAUAAUGAUAGAGAAGAUUAACACGGUCCCUAUGCAAGGACAACACAUAAACUCAAAUAUUCCAUAUUUUU
Small nuclear RNA from Vulpes vulpes (red fox), 102 nucleotides. The record is from Ensembl. NCBI's taxonomy places the organism in Eukaryota, Metazoa, Chordata, Mammalia, Carnivora, Canidae.